Mytilus trossulus (common blue mussel) is the source of this 801-nucleotide long non-coding RNA. RefSeq lists it as uncharacterized. Lineage: Eukaryota; Metazoa; Mollusca; Bivalvia; Mytilida; Mytilidae. The transcript is spliced from 8 exons. The record is from RefSeq and is a predicted model, not a curated record.
UUAGUCAACAGUACGUCAGUUUUCACUACAUAUAUUCACUUCCUGUGUUCAUUACUAAUCGAACUCUUCCUUCAAACUGAGGCCUUUUAAGGCAACAAGACGUACUGCCCAGAACGUUUAAAGAUCUACUGUUCGUUUUUAUUUGAUUCAAGUCCAGUCAGUUUAUUACUAAUUAAAGAUCCGUGUCCAGUCAAUGUGAUCCUUCUACAGUCAAGUUGUUAUUAUAAUCAAUGUGAUCCUUGUACAGUCAAGUUACUAUUUAUAGAUGCUUUAGAUGAUGGCACAACCUAACUUAUAAAUUAGGCUGACCGCAGAGGUACAUUCAUCAGUGUUUAUUUAUUAGUAUGUAUUGUAUAAGAGAACAAAACAAAUCAAUCCAUAACGACUGCCACGUUGAUCUUCAUGGUGUUGUGUGUUGUGUUAACUUUUAGUGUGGGAGGUGGUGGGUUUGAACCCUGGACAGUUCAACCAAAGACUUGAAAAAUAAUAUUUGCUGCUUCUCCAAAAUAAGAUCUGGGAAAGUGCAAUAGAUGUUCUGGUGUUCGAUGAAAAGAGUCCCACCCUGUUUGUAGAAUACAUUAGUACCUCAUUUAGGAUAUAAUGGAGGAUUGGAAUGAGAAACUUGUUACAGCUGCUAGGGAGGGAGAUAAAGAAGCCUUAAAAUUGUGCUUACAGAAUGAUGUAGAAAUUGAUUAUCAAGGAUAUGAUGGAGAGACAGCAUUAAUGGUGGCUACCAGGAGAGGACACAUGGAGGUCUGUAGACUCCUCAUUGAUACAGGAUGUAAGAUCGACAUCAUAGAA